CCACUACUCCCUCCGUCCGAAAAAGCUUGUCCCUCAAAUGGAUGUAUCUACCACCAAGUUAGUGUUAAAUUCAUCCAUUUGAGGGACAAGUUUUUUCAGACUGAGGGAGUACUAC
Triticum aestivum (bread wheat) is the source of this 115-nucleotide non-coding RNA. The record is from Rfam. Lineage: Eukaryota; Viridiplantae; Streptophyta; Magnoliopsida; Poales; Poaceae.